AGCAGACACUGUUGCAGAGACAGGGGGUGUCCAUAUCAGCUGAACUGGUUCACAUCCACAGCAAGUCCAGGGCUCGCAGUCUUAGAACAGUCUGUAGUCAGCAACUGAUAUUCAGAUGUCUGCCAGAAGCAGAAACCUGUUUAAGACAUGUUUAAACUAGGAACAGAGGUUAAAGCUUAUUUACUGAAGCCCACAGUGUAGAAAAAGCAGAUAUCUGUUUAAACAGCAAGAACAUAUUUAUAACUUUGAGUCCUAGCAAAAACUGCAGAUUUGGGCUAUAAGCAUGUACAUUUUUCUUCUGUCCAGAGAGCCAGGUAUGGAUUGGACAGAGGUGCCUUUGGCCUGAUGAAAAGCCCUUUAAGUUUGUACUUAGAUGACAACCAAAAUAAACUUAAAAACUUUGAACUUGUGCCUGAACAGUAGAUAGUCACUAUUUUAUUAGCUAACAUACUGACUAGUCUAUAGUGGAUCUGACUGCCUGAUGCUGUCAAGCUGACAACCAGUAAUAUUUCAGAGAUCUGAGAAGGGUAUAUUUUAAACUUUAAAGAUAACAAUUUAAAUGCCAUAUUCUGAAGAUCUCUGAAGCAUUAGAGGUCUGUUUUAGUUGCUUUCCUUAAGCACACAAGAAGCACACAGGUGGCUAGGUAAGGUCUUAUUUCUGUAAAUGAUUUUUAGUCUGACUGUAACUGGUUUUAACUUAGUAAAAUGUUUGAAACAGCACAGCUGAACUUAAAACUGCAUAGAGCUACCUUAUAUUCCUUAAACAGUAGCUUAACUUCUUUCUGAGGCAGGGUUUUUCUGUGACUUUGGAGCCUGUCCUGGAAUUCGAUCUGCCGGACCAGGCAGGCCUUGAACUCAUAAAGAUCCAUUUGCCUCUUACUCCCGAGUGGUGGGAUUAAAGGCGUGUGCCACCUACACCCUGAGCUUAAAGGUGUGUGCUACCAACACCCUAAACUUAACUUCUGAAAACACAAACUGUAACAGAUUAGCAUCUUUUAUAAAACAAGAACUUUACAUUGUCAGGCUUUGCUUAAGAAUAAUUCUAAAUUGAAGCUCUUUAAGUACAAACUUUAAUAAAAACAAACAUUUGAAAACUGGUUUUAAAAAGAAAUUUAAAUUCCCUUAAGGUCUUUCUGUAAUAUAUAGAAGCAUUAACAUUUUAA
Molecule: long non-coding RNA, 1163 nt
Filed under: Cricetulus griseus (Chinese hamster)
Lineage: Eukaryota; Metazoa; Chordata; Mammalia; Rodentia; Cricetidae
Description: lncRNA (ENSCGRG00015033569.1)
Source: RNAcentral